UCCGGUUUGUCACCGGCAGUCUCUGCAGAGUCCUCGGCUUUACCCGUUAGCAACAGCAGAUAAGGGUUGCGCUCGUUGCGGGACUUAACCCAACAUCUCACGACACGAGCUGACGACAGCUAUGCAGCACCUGUGCUAGAGUCCCGAAGGAGGCCUCCGCUUUCACGGAGGUUUCUCUAGCAUGUCAAGCCCAGGUAAGGCUCUUCGCGUUGCUUCGAAUUAAACCACAUGCUCCACCGCUUGUGCGGGCCCCCGUCAAUUCCUUUGAGUUUCAGCCUUGCGGCCGUACUCCCCAGGCGGGGCACUUAACGCGUAAGCUGCGACACGGAGAGGGCCGAUCCCCCCCGCAUCCAGUGCCCAUCGUUUACAGCGUGGACUAC
This 380-nucleotide unclassified non-coding RNA is filed under the name uncultured Gemmatimonadota bacterium. RNAcentral's name for it is "uncultured Gemmatimonadetes bacterium contains 16S-23S intergenic spacer region". The record is from RNAcentral. Lineage: Bacteria; Pseudomonadati; Gemmatimonadota.